GACGAACGCUGGCCGCGUGCUUAACACAUGGAAGUCGAACGGAAAGGCCCUGCUUUUGUGGGGGGCUCGAGUGGCGAACGGGUGAGUAACACGUGAGCAACCUGCGCUUGACUUUGUGAUAACUUAAGGAAACUGGGGCUAAUACCGGAUAGGAGCCCCUGCUGAAUGGUGGGGGUUGGAAAGGUUCUGCGGUUGGGGAUGGACUCGCGGCUGAUCAGCUUGUUGGUGGGGUAGCGGCUUAUCAAGGCUUUGACGGGUAGCCGGCCUGAGCGGGUGACCGGCCACAAUGGGACUGAUAUACGGCGCAGAGUACUACGGGCGGCAACCGUGGCGAACAUCACACAGCAAGCUGAAGCCUGAUGCAGCACCGCCGCGUGCGGGCUGACGGCCUUCAGGUUGUGAACCGCUUUAGCCUGUGACGAAGCGUGACAGACGGUAAUUGAUAAAGCAGCACCGGCUAACUACGUG
RNAcentral lists this ribosomal RNA (468 nucleotides) under uncultured bacterium. RNAcentral's name for it is "partial 16S ribosomal RNA". It matches the Rfam family "Bacterial small subunit ribosomal RNA", at positions 28 to 507 of the family's 1533-position model. The record is from RNAcentral.